UCUCUUGAUGAAUGGCACUGGGCUCCGACCACGGCUACAAAACCGCCGGCCUUGAUGGAAACGCCCCAUUGUGGCAGGCCUAGAAAACCUCGCCCACUGAUU
Fonsecaea multimorphosa CBS 102226 is the source of this 102-nucleotide small nucleolar RNA. It matches the Rfam family "A. fumigatus snoRNA Afu_513". NCBI's taxonomy places the organism in Eukaryota, Fungi, Ascomycota, Eurotiomycetes, Chaetothyriales, Herpotrichiellaceae. The record is from Rfam.